This 407-nucleotide transfer-messenger RNA is filed under the name Enterobacteriaceae (enterobacteria). RNAcentral describes it as "Blochmannia sp000973545 Standard tmRNA". It matches the Rfam family "transfer-messenger RNA". Rfam says of the family: Bacterial tmRNA, also known as 10Sa RNA or SsrA, is named for its dual tRNA and mRNA-like properties. Its role is to liberate the mRNA from a stalled ribosome. Lineage: Bacteria; Pseudomonadati; Pseudomonadota; Gammaproteobacteria; Enterobacterales. RNAcentral also lists the same sequence under 1 other name. The record is from RNAcentral.
GGGGCUGAUUCUUGGAUUUUGACGAAGUUUGUUUGUUUUUUGAGGUGCAUGUCGAGGGUAAGGCUGGCCUCGUAAAAAGCCUUAAUUUUUAAUUAAUUGCAAAUAAUACUAAGUAUGAACCUGUUGCAUUGGCAGCUUAAAGUUAGUUUAAAAAACUAAAGGUUCCUUCUUUGAAUUGUCUCUUCUCUUGAGCACAAUUCAAUUAUAAGAAGUUACAUUUAUUAAGAGACAAUUCGUUAUUUGUAAUCCUAAAACAAAUAGCGCUGGAAUAUGUAAAAAUAGGAUUGUUGAUUAGUAAUUCUGUUCAUGUAUAGCUACUCAAUAAAAAUUAAAACAUGAACCAAACAUGUAGUAUCCGCAAAUUUCAAAAAUUUCGGACGCGGGUUCGAAUCCCGCCAGCUCCACCA